GUUUCCGUAGUGUAGCAGUUAUUACGUGUGCUUCACACGCACAAGGUCCCCGGUUCGAUCCCGGGCGGAAACA
RNAcentral lists this transfer RNA (73 nucleotides) under Bombyx mandarina (wild silkworm). Its description in RNAcentral is "tRNA-Val". The record is from RNAcentral. Lineage: Eukaryota; Metazoa; Arthropoda; Insecta; Lepidoptera; Bombycidae.